UGUGGAGGAUUCGCUGCGGGCGGGGUAUGAGGCUGACCGGUUCGCGGUGGCGGUGGCAGGACGAGUGGCCGCUCCGGGAGGAGGGGGUGACGGCGGUACCGGCAAGCUGCGGUAGUGGCGUCCGGUAAGCUACGGUGGUGGCGUACGGCAAGUAGCGUCGUCGUCGGACCUAGGCGGGCCGAGGGAAAGGGUCGCGCGGCGGCGGCUGGCCGAGGGAGGGGAUCUCGCAGCAACGCCGGGGUCGUGGUGAAGGAACGGCACCGUAUCGUAGCAGCUGACGCGGGAAGGGGAAGAAGGGGAUCACGGAGCACCACCUUAGGUUCCCUCCCGGUCCGGCAAGUGUCGGCGGUGGGGGGAGUCAGGUAAGUUGUGGCGGUUGGUUCCGGCGCGAGGGGACAGGGGGUCGAGCCCGGCGGCCAGGGGACGUCAGGGGUUGUGGUGGCAGAGCUACACGGCAGUACGACAAAAUGUACCCUCCAUAACCGGAGGAAGUAGGCGGCCUAAGCUGGUAGGGGAAAACAAGUGGAGGCGGUGGACUCCGGCAAGUGGUGACGGUGGUCAAGGGCAAGUUGUGGCGGGCGCGUUAGAGUGCACAGUUGCUGUGGGGACAGAUGGGGUGCGCUUCGAAGUUGUCUCCGAGCCAAGUCUUGAAAUUUAUGGAGAUGAGAAAACAAACACAUGUAUAGAUUCUCCCUUGACUUUUUUACCUUAAGUUGUAGUGAUCAAAUGAAUCCCCUGCUUAAGACUAAAAGAUCGUCAAGAUCAUUUAUACAAUCUUCUUAAGGCUCAACAUAACAAGAUCAGACGACAGUUCCGUUCGACGAUACUACACAACAGUGGUAAAUAUUAGACAAUUACUGGCCAUACAAGAACAGCAGUCAAGUACACACAGGAACAACAGUCCAACACAAGUACAAAAUAUUAGUCAAGUACAUGUACACACAAACAUUAGUGCCACACAAGAUUAUUGAAGAAAGUCUUUGGUGAAACAUCGAGAUAAGUCGAUACCUAAGAGGCAAGGGUCUUUCAAUUUGUAGUCAAGAAGAUUAAACAUUUCUUUUACAUCAAAAAGUCUAAUUGUAUUCUUGUGCCGAAGAAACUACAUCACGGUAAGUUUAAGAAUAAAAUCAAAACAAGUAAAAGAAUAAAUUCAAGUCAAAUUUUAGAUUAGAAUCAAGUCAAGUUCUGUCUAAUAGUAGAUAGGUUAUGUCUUCCUUUUAUCUCAACCCUCACCUGCUGGAACUCGAACAGGUCGGUGGAAGUAACACGAAGAGGUCACGCAAGUACACAGUAUAACGCUCGUAAGGACACGGCGCACGUACGAAACCUGAUACACAACAGAUAACAAUACAUCAUAGAGGUCUAAAAGAUUUGAUUGAACGAGUUACUGUCUUAACACAUAACGUGUCAUGUACAUAAUGAUGAUCCUUACAAGUCUUUAGUCUUGAGUUUCUUCAUAACUGUCGUGUUGAUGACAUAUAAGUUCCUCAGCCCAAAACGAGGACGUAGUGGAGCAGAGGAGGCAAGCUGUUUUCGUAGUCUAUUCAAGUGUGAUACCAAAACGAGAAAGCAUAUUAAGUACUCAGGUAUGAGGAAGCCAAAAACAAGGUAUCUUUAAUUUCUUUGGACAUCUUCAAACCCCAUAUUUUAAGAUAUUCAAGUUUUGGCCCUUUGAUCAUUCAAGUCUGUUUUAAUUUUGACAGUUUCUUGUACUCUCAAAAACAGUUUUUUGGCUCCGAAGGGGUGCGGUCGUGUUUGAAAAAUUUACCCACCUAAAACAGUUUCGUUUUUGACUUACCCACCGUUCUACUUACAUCAACAAUAAUUUUCAAAGAAAAAGUUGAAGAGGAGAAUUAUAUGUACUUGAACUAAUAUAAAAAUUGGCCAAUUUAUAUGUUCCAACCGUUCUACUGAUAUCAACAAUAUCGUUUUUUCAUGGCAAAAGAAUUUUUUCAAAGACAAACUUGAAGAGGUUAAUUAUAUGUACUUGAGUUAAUAGAAAAAUUGUACAUAAGUGUACUCGAGCAAACCUAAAAACACAUAUGAACAUUGUGUUAGUCAAGUCUAGAGCUCUCUGGCAUUCAAAUCAGCCGGAACCGUAGUGCUUGCCCAAGUCAAGCUAGAGCGUAUCACCCGUCCAAGGACUACCACACAGACAGUCAAGAUGAGCGUGCUCACCUGCAGUCUAGCACGUUCACCCUUCCAGGGGCUACAUAUAAGUCAAGUUGUAGACCACGAAGAAGUCAAGUAGCAUCACACGUAAAAGUGAAGUAGAACGUCCAUACUAGUAAGAGACGGGAACGAUUACAUAAAACAUCAUUGAAACAUUUGUUUUCUCUAUCGUGUGACCUUGUUUUGUCAUCACUUCUUUCUAUGGGAUACAAUUAAAACCACUGAGAUAACAAGCAAGGUAGUGAACAUCUACAUACGGACUGGUAAAAAAGAGUUUAAACCGUAAACAAUUCAACACUCCGAUGGGUAAGCCCACGAAUGAACUUCCCCAUCGGUGCCACGACUAUGAUUUUUUUACCUACUCAUUAGUGUUUCUGGUAGUACCUACUGCUGUUCGGAUGUCGACGAUACCAAAAUCAGUUCACAAAGUCUUUACGCGUCAUGAUGAAACAUAGACAGUGAGAAACAGUCCCCUUCCACUGAUUUCGAGGUAUAACGUUAAAGUGAUUCUAUAGGCCUAAAGUAAAUCACAAAUUUUAAUUAAUGAAAGAACAGGUCAGUAUGAUCAUGACUACUUUAUAGUUCAACUGUAACACGAGCCGGUAUCCAGGCGUAAAAAAGAGAGGGAAGCCAAGUUCCUCUUCGUUGUCGACCGGACGUCACGGCGGUAGACUUCUGUCCCCUCUACAGGCAUUAGGGGAAUACCAUUAAUACGUCCACGCCUUGGAGGGUUCGCGUGCUGUUGGAGUAGGCAGGUUCAACUCGUGACCCGCGACAGGCUCAUCUCGUUACGCGGGGCAGGUUCAAGGGUAGAUUACAACUUGCAAGUUAAAACAGUACAACUUAUGAUAUGGCGACUCACGAUAACUGUCAGUCAAUAAAGAAGGAAGGUACGACGUGAACCUCUCGAAUUAGAGGGUAACCGUUUAAAUUAGACAUGGUCAUUCAUGUACUAAUUAUAAAAUCCUAUACACACCAAGGUCAUUCAUGUACUCAUGAUAAAUCGUACAAACCAACGAAGACUUUGACUUUUACAGUCCCACAUGACUACGUAAAGUUUUAACAACACACAAAAGUCCCUUUUGGUAAACAGCCCAAAAACCACCGGUUCACAAUAACUAUACCUCUACUUAUUGAUACGCCUACGUGAGGACGACAAAAACGUAGAGGAAGCGCUGCUGGAUAAAACACGGGUACUUGUUUAUCGUUUCGGGAGGACAUCGGACUCGAUAAGUAGCGGAACAGAGUUACCUAGUCUCAAGUACCUUUUUUACAAACCGUAGGACAUCAUCAAUAUCAGGAAUUCAAUGUUGUCAAACUAGUACUUUUUUUGUAGUCAUGUUUUUCAUACCUCGAAGAUUACAACAUCACUAAAGCACACUGGUGUUCCUAGGAAGGACCUUCCAUCAACCACCCAACACACGUACGAGAUGUAUGUAGGUACGAUCGGAUAGGACGACACACGCACGCAGGAAGUACACACAAGUACAAGCACGGCUACAUCACACUUACGUCCCGCUCGACCUGUUACACAGCACACACACACACACACCACACACGAACGGUACUCUCACGACGAUUAAAGAUCACAACGACAAACAAAAGAGAUGUUCCUUUUUAAUCGACGACGACAAGACUUCAAAGUCCUUAACUUCUUAAGAAAACCGUUAACUACUUUUCGAUACUAAAACACGAGGACAAAAAAUAAUACAGUUACUCUUUGGUUAUGAAGAAAAGAAAUCCAAAGCACAAAAUCAACCAC
Molecule: ribosomal RNA, 3934 nt
Filed under: Triticum aestivum (bread wheat)
Lineage: Eukaryota; Viridiplantae; Streptophyta; Magnoliopsida; Poales; Poaceae
Description: partial small subunit ribosomal RNA
Source: RNAcentral